RNAcentral lists this ribosomal RNA (590 nucleotides) under uncultured marine eukaryote. RNAcentral's name for it is "SSU rRNA". It matches the Rfam family "Eukaryotic small subunit ribosomal RNA", at positions 1 to 598 of the family's 1831-position model. The record is from RNAcentral.
UACCUGGUUGAUCCUGCCAGUAGUCAUAUGCUUGUCUAUAAGACUAAGCCAUGCAAGUCUAAGUAUAAACAAUUUAUACAGUGAAACUGCAGAUGGCUCAUUAAAACAGUAAUAGUUUAUUUGAUGGUCAAAACCACAUGGAUACCUGUGGGAAUUCCAGAGCUAAUACAUGCAAGAAGACCCAACGCAAGGCGGGUUGUAUUUGUUAGAUUAAACACCAAUGCCCUUCGGGGCUUUGGCGAGUCAUAGCAACUCUCGAACCGAAUGGUCUUGUACCGUCGGUAGUUCAUUCAAAUUUCUGCCCUAUCAGCUUUCGAAGGUAGGAUAUGGGCCUACCUUGGCUUUAACGGGUGACGGAGAAUUAGGGUUCGGUUCCGGAGAGGGAGCCUGAGAAACGGCUACCACAUCCAAGGAAGGCAGCAGGCGCGCAAAUUACCCACUCCUGACACAGGGAGGUAGUGACAAGAAAUAACAAUAGACGGGCUUAUUGGUUUGUCUAAUUGGAAUGAGAACAAGGUAAAAAUAUUAACGAGGAUCCAUUGGAGGGCAAGUCUGGUGCCAGCAGCCGCGGUAAUUCCAGCUCCAAUAGC